RNAcentral lists this ribosomal RNA (497 nucleotides) under uncultured bacterium. RNAcentral's name for it is "partial 16S ribosomal RNA". It matches the Rfam family "Bacterial small subunit ribosomal RNA", at positions 28 to 507 of the family's 1533-position model. The record is from RNAcentral.
GAUGAACGCUGGCGGCGUGCCUAAUACAUGCAAGUCGAGCGAACAGACGAGGAGCUUGCUCCUCUGACGUUAGCGGCGGACGGGUAAGUAACACGUGGAUAACCUACCUAUAAGACUGGGAUAACUUCGGGAAACCGGAGCUAAUACCGGAUAAUAUAUUGAACCGCAUGGUUCAAUAGUGAAAGACGGUUUUGCUGUCACUUAUAGAUGGAUCCGCGCCGCAUUAGCUAGUUGGUAAGGUAACGGCUUACCAAGGCAACGAUGCGUAGCCGACCUGAGAGGGUGAUCGGCCACACUGGAACUGAGACACGGUCCAGACGCCUACGGGAGGCAGCAGUAGGGAAUCUUCCGCAAUGGGCGAAAGCCUGACGGAGCAACGCCGCGUGAGUGAUGAAGGUCUUCGGAUCGUAAAACUCUGUUAUUAGGGAAGAACAAAUGUGUAAGUAACUAUGCACGUCUUGACGGUACCUAAUCAGAAAGCCACGGCUAACUACGUG